Long non-coding RNA from Haliotis rubra (blacklip abalone), 95 nucleotides. RefSeq lists it as uncharacterized. Lineage: Eukaryota; Metazoa; Mollusca; Gastropoda; Lepetellida; Haliotidae. The record is from RefSeq and is a predicted model, not a curated record. The transcript has 2 exons.
CAAAGUGUCACCGUGACCUUGAAAAUUAUGUGAAGGUCACCAAAAUCGACUGGGCCCUGCGCCUUCCCUCGAUGAAGCUUGAUGUCGAAUAUGAA